This 817-nucleotide ribosomal RNA is filed under the name Mandarina sp. B AD-2007. Its description in RNAcentral is "partial 16S ribosomal RNA". The record is from RNAcentral. Lineage: Eukaryota; Metazoa; Mollusca; Gastropoda; Stylommatophora; Camaenidae.
AGCUUUGAGCUAAAUAUAUUAUAAUAUUAGUUAUUUUAUAAAGGUGUCGUAAAACCUUAUUAAAAAUUAUAUUUAGGGGUGAUAGGCUUUUCAAAAACUAAGAUAUCUUGAAUCUAAUUAAAAGUAUUUAGUACAAUUAACACGACUAUUAAGUGAUUAGGCUUUAUAGGAUUAUUAAACCUUAAGAUAUUUUAUUUAUUAUAAUUUAAUAAUUAAGUAUAUAUAUAAAAUAACAUUCAUAUAUUUUUAUUUUAUAAAGAGUAAUUAGAUAGAAAAAAGUUUAUUAUUAAUUGUAAUAAUGUUAAUAUUAGUAUAUAAUUUAUAUUUAUAUGAUGAACUCGGCAAAAAUGCUUCUCAACUGUUUAUCAAAAACAUAACAAUGUGAAAAAAUACAUAGCGAUUUCUGCUCAAUGAUUUAUUAAAUAGCCGCAGUAUACUGACUGUGCAAAGGUAGCAUAAUCAAUUGACUUAUAAUUGAAGUCUAGAAUGAAUGAAAAUAAUGGGAAGCCACUAUAUUUUGUAAAUUUAUAUAAUUUACUAAUGAAGUGAAAAUACUUCUAUAGAUAUAAUAGACGAGAAGACCCUAGAAAUUUUUAGUAAUUAAAAUUAAUAUUUGAGAAAUUUUUUGUUGGGGCGACAAAGUAGCAUAUAAACCUACUUAUUUAUAAACUUGCACUUUAUAUAUUGAUUGAAAAAAUUACUCUAGGGAUAACAGCAUAAUAUUUUUAAAGUUUAUGACCUCGAUGUUGGAUUAGGAAAUAAUAACUUAAAAGGUUUUUUAUAUUGCUCUGUUCGAGCAUCAAACUCCUACAUGAUC